UAGCGUAGCUCUGCGCGGUGAUGACGUAAUCACCGGCGAAUUAACCAAACGAGCUGCUGCGGAAACGGAGCGUUGAGGGUUGGAGGGGGGCGCAGGCGAGGGGACGAGGGAGCACACCGCGGCGCGUCCUUCGUUGGGCCGCCGCCGAUCCCAAGCCUUUACCGCCGGCCACCUCGGUCGCCCCUCCCGCUCCUCGACGCCGACGAGCGGCGGCGGCUCCGGCCGCUGCCGCCGCGCGGGCGCCCCCUCUUCAGCACCGCGGAGUUGAAGCUGCCGGAGGCGGGCGGCCUCCGCGCGGUCCUCUCCGGGCGGGCUCCCGAGGUGAUGGUGACGGAGCCGCAGUAUCCGGUUCGAGGACUCCUACAACAGCGACUUAUGAUGGUUGUCGUUCACCUUUACGAUCUCCCAAAGUUACUUUACCUACGCAACUGUCUAGCACCAAAAGAAGGACCUUACAGGUUCCUUCUCGCACUUGUCCAACGAUCCUCACUUUGUAAUCGGUAGUCCGACAGUUUGUAACGUUUGUACCAAGAAAAACGACGUUUUCACAUACGAAGUCAUGCCUCACCGAGCGAACGAUAAUAUCGAAGGUGAAACCUAAGAGAAGAACUGAACAAUAGUCCCAAGUAGAAUACCAAAUGACGGAAAAGAUACGUUUGUGGUUUAGGGAUGUCUAUGGGUUAACCAUUUUUCGCGUACGUCGGCGACCCUUAUGAACAGAAACGGAGUCAGUACCGUUGCGAACCGGAAGUCUAGUAGAAUCUUAGUUGAGCUAGUGACAACAGACUACCUCCACUUAAGUCGAACUGCUUCCUCGUCCUUUUCACCCAACACCUGUAGUACAAGAGUCACUGCGACCACUUUGAACGGGACCGAAAUAUAACGGCGUGCAAGUGGUUGCUUUAGCAGUUCCGAAUACGUGUCCUAGUGUAAAAGCUACAAUAGUGAUUAUAUUAACCAGAACACCGACGUGAUGAGCGUUUAAUAAAGCUUCCUACCUAGCUGGGACAACCACGUUAAUAAGAUCGUUAGAUGUGGUAGUCCUGUACCAGCUACUGCCACGAUCUUUUGCAGGUGAGUGAGCACCCCGUUAGCCGAAGCGGUCUUAUGGAAGUCUUCGACUGGAUGGAAACGACCUUGGUGGUGUUCCGGCACUCCGUGUAACUGUGCCACGCGCGGAUGUGCAAGCCGAGCGUGAUGAAGCACCUCCACCUGUAGCACGACGGCCGCCCGUACGGCGACGUCCUCCGCGUGCUGUAGCCGCUCCGGGACGUCCUCUUCGACCUCGCGGACGGACUCUAGCUCGCGCGGAAACAGGUGGAGCUGAUGCUCAAGUGGGUAGCCGGGCUCGUGCGAGACAGCGUACUCUUCAUCGAAGUCCUAGUCGGCCACCUACGUCGAGACAUGUCUAAUUACCGUUAUCAAAACCUUUAGGCCACAAGCAGUUCCGCAGCGUCUUUUUGGACGCCCACGCCGUGCGUUAACUUUACACGUAUGACCUCACGGCCUAGACCGCUACAGCUGCAUCUAACACAGAAAACAUUCAACGACACGAUGCAUGCAUCGUAUAUAUAAAUUUACAGGAGAUAUGGGACUAGUACCGGAGUAAAAAUAACGACCAAGUGUGUACUGAUACUUGUUUCGAACGUUUUCCAAUGAUUCGUCGUCUCCUGUAGUUACAUCUACGUCGUUGUCCUUUCUUCUCCUACCCCUGCAUACGUCGUAUAAUGAGCGGUGUAUAUUCAAGACAUUAUACCCACGACUACUAGAUAGAGGAGCUCUAACGGUCUAGUGAACCACCGCGAGCCUUUUCCCCGCUUAAACCAUAGGUGGCACCGUAUCCAACCCGGAAGCUUUGC
This 1859-nucleotide ribosomal RNA is filed under the name Triticum aestivum (bread wheat). RNAcentral's name for it is "partial small subunit ribosomal RNA". Lineage: Eukaryota; Viridiplantae; Streptophyta; Magnoliopsida; Poales; Poaceae. The record is from RNAcentral.